This 677-nucleotide long non-coding RNA is filed under the name Setaria italica (foxtail millet). RNAcentral describes it as "long non-coding RNA (SITA_LNC006369)". Lineage: Eukaryota; Viridiplantae; Streptophyta; Magnoliopsida; Poales; Poaceae. The record is from RNAcentral.
UCAUAUUUUGGGUAAUUUAGAUACAAAUUUAAGAGAGUUUUUAAAGUUAUUUUUUAUAAUGACAUGUAUGGAUAAUUUAGAUAAAGAAUAUGAAGUUAAGUUAGAUUAUUUUUUAAUAAUUGCAGAGGUGGCUAAUUUGGAUAUAGGUAUAAAGAGUUUACCUUAAAGAAAAUUUAUAAUGAAAGUGGGUAUUUUUCAUAACGAACCAUAAUAGAAUAAUGGCUACGAUAUUAGAGCCUACAUGAUUGAUUGAUGCCGAAUAUUUUGUGAGAAUUUUUAGAAUUUAUCUUUUUUCCUAAUGUGUAAUCAAUGCAAAGUCUUCUAAUGAAAAAAAAAUUAAAAAACAUAGCUAAGAAUCAAAGAUUUGGCACGAAAAGGGUGGUAGUCUCUCACCUUGGACGGGCAUUAUCGGCUCCUUUUAUCAAAAUCAAAAUAGGCUUGUUGGGUUGUAAAUAAAGAAAAAUAAAUCAAUUUGAAACACGGACAUGCAAAUACUCCUGUUUGGCAACAAGUGUUAAAGUUUAACACCCAUCACAUCGGAUGUUUGAUGCUAAUUAGGAGUAUUAAACAUAAGCUAAUUACAAAACUAAUUGCACAGAUGGAGUGUAAUUCGCGAGAUGAAUCUAUUAAGCCUAAUUAGUUCAUGAUUUGACAAUGUGGUGCUCAUGUUUAGUUCU